Molecule: ribosomal RNA, 440 nt
Filed under: uncultured bacterium
Lineage: Bacteria
Description: partial 16S ribosomal RNA
Rfam family: Bacterial small subunit ribosomal RNA
Source: RNAcentral
CCUACGGGAGGCAGCAGUAGGGAAUAUUGCUCACUGGGGGAAACCCUGAUGCAGCAACGCCGCGUGGAGGAUGAAGUUUUUCGGAUUGUAAACUCCUUUUGGUAGAGAAGAUAAUGACGGUAUCUAACGAAUAAGCACCGGCUAACUCCGUGCCAGCAGCCGCGGUAAUACGGAGGGUGCAAGCGUUACUCGGAAUUACUGGGCGUAAAGAGAGCGUAGGCGGGAUAGCAAGUCAGAGUUGAAAGCCUAUGGCUUAACCAUAGAACUGCAUUUGAAACUGUUCUUCUAGAGUAUAGGAGAGGUAGGUGGAAUUCUUGGGGUAGGGGUAAAAUGCGUAGAGAUCAAGAGGAAUACUCAUUGCGAAGGCGACCUGCUAGAACAUAACUGACGCUGAUGCGCGAAAGCGUGGGGAGCAAACAGGAUUAGAUACCCCGGUAGUC